Long non-coding RNA from Plutella xylostella (diamondback moth), 410 nucleotides. RefSeq lists it as uncharacterized. The record is from RefSeq and is a predicted model, not a curated record. NCBI's taxonomy places the organism in Eukaryota, Metazoa, Arthropoda, Insecta, Lepidoptera, Plutellidae.
ACCUGACCCUCUUAGAGUGACAUUGCUACUAAAGGGGAAUCAGGUUUAUUUGCAGCCCACCGUACAAAUUCUACUUUCAUAAUGUUUCAGAUACGAGCCAUGUUUCGCGGGGUGCGCGGCGGUGUCGUGCGACAACCCGCGCGCGCGGCCGCGACCCUGCUACCCGUACUGCGAGCCCGGCUGCGUGUGCGCGCCGCCCCGCGUGCGUGACGACCGCACGCAUAAGUGCGUCACCGUGGAUAACUGCACCAAGGGUCUGAAAGGAAUUCCUGAUUUGGGGGAAGAGCAGUGAAGAAAAGACAAGGUCAGAAGAGAAGUUAAUUACAGUAGAUUUAAGAUAUAGGUCCAGAACAGAACAAUAUGAUUAAGUUCUAGGUAAUAUAAUAAAGUUUAUUGUAAUUUGUAUCUUA